AGCUUGUCAACAACAGGUGGGUUUUGUUUUAGCAUAGACAUUAAUGGUAGCUAGCAAGCUAUCAAAGGGAUUCUAGCUAGCUGAUGAGAUAAAAUGGCUGAGAAAAGUGGAUUGGAGAACUGGACUUUGGUGCAUUAAGCAUCAACAGCAACUCCGACAAUUUAAGAUCGGAACGAGAAUCAACAAUGAAAAAUAUUUGAGAGAGCAUCUAGAGGUGGAGGCCUUUUUAAGGUUUGUUAAUUGGCUGGCACUGGUUGACGAGAUGUAUUUCUCAAAAGACCCACAGACAUUCGAGAGUUCGCAGCAGAUUACUUUACCAACCCAAACCUUUGUAUGAUCAUUGGCUCCAAACUGCAGGGCGAUCCUGCCGACACAGGCACAGACUGAAUCCUUAACGGAUUGUUUGGCAGUUCAACUGUUAUUGAAGUGUAAAGCUGUAACAAGCCUCUUUCUCUGUGUCCUGCACAUCCUCUGUAUUGACUAGUUAUUUGUGUCAAAGUAACAUUAUAUAAAGUAGGAAUGUACUGGCAUCCAGGCAGAGUUUCUUAACAAGCAUCAUUACUACAGGUUAGUUACAGGGCUACAGAUAGAAGACUUCUAGGCCUAUAGGGUGGAGUGGACAGCCUCUUUACAGGAGUUUUCUCCGCGAAAAGUCUAAACGGGAUCAUUGGGACGUUCCAACUCUGACGUUACCCCAUUGAAGUUGAAAUUUAAAACAGUUAAGGUUAGAUGAGAGUAUGGGUUAAGGUUAGUGACGUCCCAAGGAUCCCGAAUAGCACUAACCAUUUUCUCAGGCCUCAGAGUACCCCCUUCUGGACUCUUACGUACUUCCAUUCACUCU
Molecule: long non-coding RNA, 841 nt
Organism: Coregonus clupeaformis (lake whitefish)
Lineage: Eukaryota; Metazoa; Chordata; Actinopteri; Salmoniformes; Salmonidae
Exons: 4
Source: RefSeq, a predicted model, not a curated record